This 116-nucleotide ribosomal RNA is filed under the name Escherichia coli. Lineage: Bacteria; Pseudomonadati; Pseudomonadota; Gammaproteobacteria; Enterobacterales; Enterobacteriaceae. The record is from RNAcentral.
GCCUGGCAGUUCCCUACUCUCGCAUGGGGAGACCCCACACUACCAUCGGCGCUACGGCGUUUCACUUCUGAGUUCGGCAUGGGGUCAGGUGGGACCACCGCGCUACGGCCGCCAGG